GAUCACACAGAAAAUACGAGGGAAAAUUUCUUGUGCUGUUUUUCCAAACAAUGCCUGGGAGCUGGGACGGAUCGGGCCAUCAUAGCAACUACUGCGUACAGAGCACCAUGCUGGAUACUUAAGGAAUAUACACCAGCAGGAAAAGACAUGAUCCCUGCCCUUUUGGAUUUUACUGGUCAAACCGACCUGACAAUCAGUCUCAGAUGAACAACUAUAUAAAAGAAUAAAGAGUGAGAGAUACAAAAGAUUAAAAAAAAAGGAAGGUAAACAAGAAAAUAAGAAACCCAAAACAGAUUGGAUACGUGAAUUCUAAAUUAUACUCCGUCCUACUUAGACUGUAAGCCCCAUGUGGGACAGGCAAUGUGCUGAUUUAUCUCCCUCUAUACUGUAUGCUUGUUCUGGGCAGGGAAUGUGUCUGUUUAUUGUAAUAAUGUACUCUCCCAAGAGCUUAGUACAGUGCUUUGCACCUAGAAAGUGCUCAAUAAAUAUGACUGACAAUCUCACAUUUAUUCCUGUGGUUAGGACAAUGUUUGGAACACAAUAAACACUUAAACAAAAA
Tachyglossus aculeatus (Australian echidna) is the source of this 559-nucleotide long non-coding RNA. RefSeq lists it as uncharacterized. The transcript is spliced from 2 exons. The record is from RefSeq and is a predicted model, not a curated record. Lineage: Eukaryota; Metazoa; Chordata; Mammalia; Monotremata; Tachyglossidae.